GACGAACGCUGGCGGCGUGCUUAACACAUGCAAGUCGAACGAUGAAGCUGGAGCUUGCUCUGGCGGAUUAGUGGCGAACGGGUGAGUAACACGUGAGAAAUCUGCCCUUGACUCUGGGAUAACUGCGGGAAACUGUAGCUAAUACCGGAUACUUUCCCUGGUGGGCAUCCACUGGGGAAGAAAGAAUUUCGGUCAAGGAUGAUCUCGCGGCCUAUCAGCUUGUUGGUGAGGUAAUGGCUCACCAAGGCGACGACGGGUAGCCGGCCUGAGAGGGGGACCGGCCACACUGUGGCUGAGACACGGGCCAGACUCCUACGGGAGGCAGCAGUGGGGAAUAUUGCACAAUGGGCGCAAGCCUGAUGCAGCAACGCCGCGUGAGGGAUGAAGGCCUUCGGGUUGUAAACCUCUUUUAGCAGGGAAGAAGCGAAAGUGACGGUACCUGCAGAAAAAGCACCGGCUAACUACGUGCCAGCCGCCGCAGUAA
This 484-nucleotide ribosomal RNA is filed under the name uncultured bacterium. RNAcentral's name for it is "partial 16S ribosomal RNA". It matches the Rfam family "Bacterial small subunit ribosomal RNA", at positions 28 to 523 of the family's 1533-position model. The record is from RNAcentral.